ACGACGACGACGAAGACUAUGGCGUUUUAGACGAGCGUUCUUUGAUGGGUGAGCCGAACGAGGGCUCUAGGAGCGUAAACUGUUCCUUGCCCCAUCGGCUUGUGGCUCGGUGCCUCUUGGGGCUGAGGCGGGCCAGGGUGAAGAGAAUCCAGGGGGAAGAUGUGAAGAAAGAGAAACAAAGCAAGAUGGAUGAAGAUGAGAAAGGAUUAUGUGAUCCAACGGCGCAGGCUAAAUGUUCGAUGAAUGGAUUCAACGGUGGGAAGUCGGUGUCGGCGACUGGAGAGAGUAGGAAAGAUACCUCUUUCAAUUUGGGAGUUGGGUGUUACCUUUUAUAUCUAAUUGCAGCAAGUAAAAACGAGCUUCAUAAGAUGAUGGAGGCGAGGUUGCAAAUGGAAACCCUUCUCCAGAAUACCAGAGAGGAAUUGCUGAAGAAAAGCAAUCUCUCUAAGUUGUCUAAACCCAACGAUAUGUUUGCCUAUUCCGCCAUUGAUUCUCCACAAGGUCCAUAUUUUGAAAAUCAAUUUCUACUGGAGUCCUCAAUAGUUUCAGUGGAUGAUCAGUCUUUAAGGUACGAAACACCUGAAAAAGAAGAGUGUUUAGAAGAAGGAAUGGGUAUGGGUCGGCUCGAGGCAGAACUCCAAGCUGAGCUAGAACGUUUGCAACUUCACUUGGAUAGGGAGGGGUUGCUGAAACAUUCAGAGCAAUUAAGGAUAGAGGUGACUGAUGAACACACUGCCUGCUCAAAAAGUCAGACCAUGAGUUCUGGAGAAGUGAUUGACCCUCAACCUCAAGAUGCAGACACAAAUUGUGGAGUUCCUCCUGAUGAACUGGAGAGAAGGUUGCAUGAAUUGCUGGAAGCAAGACAGCAAGAAGAGAUAAGAGAGCUAGAAGCAGCUUUGAAAUGUCUUCAGCACCGGCUUUAUGAGAAAGAAGUGGAGGUUUCACGGUGGAAAGACACAGCAAUGCUCAUUUCACGGCAUGCUAUGGAACCCUCACGGUUCACUUCACAGCAUGAUCCAAAAAUUAUCACUCCUCAAGGUGAAGAUCAAAUGUGUGAUAGUUUGAGAAUGAGAUGUUAAUCAGAUCACCAUAAAACUGUAAUUGGUGUUUGAUGAUGAUUGAUGAAUAUUUUUACCUCUGAAAUGUGAAUUGCACAGUAUCUGAUAUAUACUGGACAAUGGGAAAUGGAAAGCUGAUGCAAAAAUUGAUGGCAAAAAGGGAAAGCAGGAUUGCCAAUUGAAGCAGAAAACCCUCUUUGUGACUUUGUCUACUGCUGUGCAUGUACAAUUUCUGCGAAUUUCUUGGUCCUCGAUUUGAA
RNAcentral lists this unclassified non-coding RNA (1318 nucleotides) under Hevea brasiliensis (rubber tree). Lineage: Eukaryota; Viridiplantae; Streptophyta; Magnoliopsida; Malpighiales; Euphorbiaceae. The record is from RNAcentral.